GUCUAUGGCCAGACCACCCUGAACAUGCCCUAUCUUGUCUGAUCUCAGAAGCUAUGCAAGGUUGGGCCUGGUUAGUACUUGGAUGAGAGAAAUAUUGGCUUCAUGUAGU
Molecule: ribosomal RNA, 109 nt
Filed under: Mus caroli (Ryukyu mouse)
Lineage: Eukaryota; Metazoa; Chordata; Mammalia; Rodentia; Muridae
Source: RNAcentral